UACGAAGGGGGCUAGCGUUGCUCGGAAUCACUGGGCGUAAAGCGCACGUAGGCGGCUUAUUAAGUCAGAGGUGAAAUCCUGGAGCUCAACUCCAGAACUGCCUUUGAUACUGAUGAGCUUGAGUUCGGGAGAGGUGAGUGGAACUGCGAGUGUAGAGGUGAAAUUCGUAGAUAUUCGCAAGAACACCAGUGGCGAAGGCGGCCUGCUGGGCAGUUGCUGACGCUGAGGCGCGACAGCGUGGGGAGCAAACAGG
Molecule: ribosomal RNA, 253 nt
Filed under: uncultured bacterium
Lineage: Bacteria
Description: partial 16S ribosomal RNA
Rfam family: Bacterial small subunit ribosomal RNA
Source: RNAcentral